GUGUUAGCCAGGAUGGUCUCGAUCUCCUGACCUCAUGAUCCGCCCGCCUUGGCCUCCCAAAGUGCUGGGAUUACAGGCAUGAGCCACCUCGCCCGGCCCACAUGCUAUCAAAUGGACCCGGUGGAUCAUCCAAACAAAGAAAUUCUCUCACUGCAAGGCUUUUCAAAGGAAAAAAAAAAUGAUCUGAAGUACAAAUAAGUUUGCAAAAGAUAGCAAAAAGCAAAAGUUACUUUGAAGCUGUACAGUGUUUUAAACAAGUUGGUUAUGUGUUUUCAUACAAGUAACUAAAUAUAAAUAUAAAACUAUAGAAGAUGCAAAGAUCUUAAGGUGUUUUCUAAGAUCUUAGAACAUAAAUAUCACAAAUUUAUUGUUACAUACAAACUAUGGGGCAUAAAACAUACUUCACAAUAAUGGUUCAAGAGACCAACAUAGUGAAUAGCCUCUUUAUGAUUUUCAAAGAAAUAUUAGUCUGAACUAG
This is a long non-coding RNA of Homo sapiens (human), 478 nucleotides long. The record is from Ensembl. Lineage: Eukaryota; Metazoa; Chordata; Mammalia; Primates; Hominidae.